This 301-nucleotide ribosomal RNA is filed under the name uncultured bacterium. RNAcentral's name for it is "partial 16S ribosomal RNA". It matches the Rfam family "Bacterial small subunit ribosomal RNA", at positions 509 to 809 of the family's 1533-position model. The record is from RNAcentral.
CAGCCGCCGCGGUAAUACGUAGGUGGCAAGCGUUGUCCGGAAUUAUUGGGCGUAAAGGGCUCGCAGGCGGUUUCUUAAGUCUGAUGUGAAAGCCCCCGGCUCAACCGGGGAGGGUCAUUGGAAACUGGGAAACUUGAGUGCAGAAGGGGAGAGUGGAAUUCCACGUGUAGCGGUGAAAUGCGUAGAGAUGUGGAGGAACACCAGUGGCGAAGGCGACUCUCUGGUCUGUAACUGACGCUGAGGAGCGAAAGCGUGGGGAGCGAACAGGAUUAGAUACCCCCGUAGUCCCUGUCUCUUAUAA